UCGCGCCUACCAUGCAAGUCGGACGGUAGCACAGAGGAGCUUGCUCCUCGGGUGACGAGUGGCGGACGGGUGAGUAAUGUCUGGGGAUCUGCCCGAUAGAGGGGGAUAACCACUGGAAACGGUGGCUAAUACCGCAUAACGUCGCAAGACCAAAGAGGGGGACCUUCGGGCCUCUCACUAUCGGAUGAACCCAGAUGGGAUUAGCUAGUAGGCGGGGUAACGGCCCACCUAGGCGACGAUCCCUAGCUGGUCUGAGAGGAUGACCAGCCACACUGGAACUGAGACACGGUCCAGACUCCUACGGGAGGCAGCAGUGGGGAAUAUUGCACAAUGGGCGCAAGCCUGAUGCAGCCAUGCCGCGUGUAUGAAGAAGGCCUUCGGGUUGUAAAGUACUUUCAGCGGGGAGGAAGGCGAUAAGGUUAAUAACCUUGUCGAUUGACGUUACCCGCAGAAGAAGCACCGGCUAACUCCGUGCCAGCAGCCGCGGUAAUACGGAGGGUGCAAGCGUUAAUCGGAAUUACUGGGCGUAAAGCGCACGCAGGCGGUCUGUUAAGUCAGAUGUGAAAUCCCCGGGCUUAACCUGGGAACUGCAUUUGAAACUGGCAGGCUUGAGUCUCGUAGAGGGGGGUAGAAUUCCAGGUGUAGCGGUGAAAUGCGUAGAGAUCUGGAGGAAUACCGGUGGCGAAGGCGGCCCCCUGGACGAAGACUGACGCUCAGGUGCGAAAGCGUGGGGGAGCAAACAGGAUUAGAUACCCUGGUAGUCCACGCCGUAAACGAUGUCGACUUGGAGGUUGUUCCCUUGAGGAGUGGCUUCCGGAGCUAACGCGUUAAGUCGACCGCCUGGGGGAGUACGGCCGCAAGGUUAAAACUCAAAUGAAUUGACGGGGGCCCGCACAAGCGGUGGAGCAUGUGGUUUAAUUCGAUGCAACGCGAAGAAUCUUACCUACUCUUGACAUCCACGGGAAUUC
Molecule: ribosomal RNA, 968 nt
Filed under: uncultured prokaryote
Description: bacterial SSU rRNA
Rfam family: Bacterial small subunit ribosomal RNA
Source: RNAcentral